AGCGAACGCUGGCGGCAGGCCUAACACAUGCAAGUCGAACGAACCUUCGGGUUAGUGGCGGACGGGUGAGUAACACGUGGGAACGUGCCUUUUGGUUCGGAACAACUCAGGGAAACUUGAGCUAAUACCGAAUGUGCCCUUCGGGGGAAAGAUUUAUCGCCAUUAGAGCGGCCCGCGUCUGAUUAGCUUGUUGGUGAGGUAAAGGCUCACCAAGGCUACGAUCAGUAGCUGGUCUGAGAGGAUGAUCAGCCACAUUGGGACUGAGGCACGGCCCAAACUCCUACGGGAGGCAGCAGUGGGGAAUCUUGCGCAAUGGGCGAAAGCCUGACGCAGCCAUGCCGCGUGAAUGAUGAAGGUCUUAGGAUUGUAAAAUUCUUUUCACCGGGGACGAUAAUGACGGUACCCGGAGAAGAAGCCCGGCUAACUUCGUG
This 431-nucleotide ribosomal RNA is filed under the name uncultured bacterium. Its description in RNAcentral is "bacterial SSU rRNA". It matches the Rfam family "Bacterial small subunit ribosomal RNA", at positions 29 to 507 of the family's 1533-position model. The record is from RNAcentral.